CAGUCGCCGCGGUAAAACGAAGGGUGCAAGCGUUAAUCGGAAUUACUGGGCGUAAAGCGCGCGUAGGUGGUUUGGUAAGAUGGAUGUGAAAUCCCCGGGCUCAACCUGGGAACUGCAUCCAUAACUGCCUGACUAGAGUACGGUAGAGGGUGGUGGAAUUUCCUGUGUAGCGGUGAAAUGCGUAGAUAUAGGAAGGAACACCAGUGGCGAAGGCGACCACCUGGACUGAUACUGACACUGAGGUGCGAAAGCGUGGGGAGCAAACAGGAUUAGAUACCCCUGUAGUCCCUGUCUCUUAUAA
RNAcentral lists this ribosomal RNA (301 nucleotides) under uncultured bacterium. RNAcentral's name for it is "partial 16S ribosomal RNA". It matches the Rfam family "Bacterial small subunit ribosomal RNA", at positions 509 to 809 of the family's 1533-position model. The record is from RNAcentral.